UUUUUAGUAUAAGUAUAGCCCAUGAAAUAGUUGGGAUAUACUUAUGCUAAAA
Macaca mulatta (Rhesus monkey) is the source of this 52-nucleotide non-coding RNA. The record is from Rfam. Lineage: Eukaryota; Metazoa; Chordata; Mammalia; Primates; Cercopithecidae.